AAGGGGGAGAUGAUGAUGAUGCAUGUGGAUGAUGAUAUGCAUGUGCAUGAUGCUGCUUUUUAGAUGUUAGAUGCUUUUUAGAUGUUAGAUGCUGUUUUUUUUUUUUCAGAUGAUGUAUUUAGAUGAUGAUGAUGAUGCUUAUAUAUGACUGUUUAUGUUUGAUCGUUAAUGAAAACUCUUGGAUCUUGACUGUGUUUUGAGAAUAUUUUUUUGCAGGAACUUUCAAGACUUCAAAACUCCAUGUCUAAGUCAUAGAGUUUGUAUUAAGAUUGUGAGAAAAAUGUAAUUUUUUCUUUUAUUGGAUCGAUCAUGCAGGAGAUUGUCGUUUGGUGAUUGCGAUGAUCUUCUUUUUAUUGUUUCUGAGUUGUGUACGAGCGUUGUAUUAUGUUUUGUCACGAAAUCGCCAAAGGGGGAGAUUGUUAAGGAUUUUCUAGGUUGGCGGAUUUCGUAAAGUCGAAUGGAGUCCUGAAGAGUUGAUCGCGAAGGUUUGAAGAGAAGAUUCAAUUUGAAGAGCAAA
This 517-nucleotide long non-coding RNA is filed under the name Ananas comosus (pineapple). RNAcentral describes it as "long non-coding RNA (ACOM_LNC044848)". The record is from RNAcentral. Lineage: Eukaryota; Viridiplantae; Streptophyta; Magnoliopsida; Poales; Bromeliaceae.